UACGGAGGGUGCAAGCGUUAAUCGGAAUUACUGGGCGUAAAGCGCACGCAGGUGGCUGAGUAAGUCGAUUGUGAAAGCCCUGGGCUUAACCUGGGAAUUGCAGUCGAAACUACUCGGCUAGAGUAUGGGAGAGGGCAGUGGAAUUCCCGGUGUAGCGGUGAAAUGCGCAGAUAUCAGGAGGAACACCGGUGGCGAAGGCGGUUCUCUGGGCAUUACCUGACGCUGAGGAGCGAAAGUGUGGGGAGCGAACAGG
RNAcentral lists this ribosomal RNA (253 nucleotides) under uncultured bacterium. Its description in RNAcentral is "partial 16S ribosomal RNA". It matches the Rfam family "Bacterial small subunit ribosomal RNA", at positions 524 to 776 of the family's 1533-position model. The record is from RNAcentral.